This 897-nucleotide ribosomal RNA is filed under the name Klebsiella pneumoniae. Its description in RNAcentral is "bacterial SSU rRNA". It matches the Rfam family "Bacterial small subunit ribosomal RNA", at positions 57 to 946 of the family's 1533-position model. Lineage: Bacteria; Pseudomonadati; Pseudomonadota; Gammaproteobacteria; Enterobacterales; Enterobacteriaceae. The record is from RNAcentral.
GCAGUCGAGCGGUAGCACAGAGAGCUUGCUCUCGGGUGACGAGCGGCGGACGGGUGAGUAAUGUCUGGGAAACUGCCUGAUGGAGGGGGAUAACUACUGGAAACGGUAGCUAAUACCGCAUAAUGUCGCAAGACCAAAGUGGGGGACCUUCGGGCCUCAUGCCAUCAGAUGUGCCCAGAUGGGAUUAGCUAGUAGGUGGGGUAACGGCUCACCUAGGCGACGAUCCCUAGCUGGUCUGAGAGGAUGACCAGCCACACUGGAACUGAGACACGGUCCAGACUCCUACGGGAGGCAGCAGUGGGGAAUAUUGCACAAUGGGCGCAAGCCUGAUGCAGCCAUGCCGCGUGUGUGAAGAAGGCCUUCGGGUUGUAAAGCACUUUCAGCGGGGAGGAAGGCGAUAAGGUUAAUAACCUUGUCGAUUGACGUUACCCGCAGAAGAAGCACCGGCUAACUCCGUGCCAGCAGCCGCGGUAAUACGGAGGGUGCAAGCGUUAAUCGGAAUUACUGGGCGUAAAGCGCACGCAGGCGGUCUGUCAAGUCGGAUGUGAAAUCCCCGGGCUCAACCUGGGAACUGCAUUCGAAACUGGCAGGCUAGAGUCUUGUAGAGGGGGGUAGAAUUCCAGGUGUAGCGGUGAAAUGCGUAGAGAUCUGGAGGAAUACCGGUGGCGAAGGCGGCCCCCUGGACAAAGACUGACGCUCAGGUGCGAAAGCGUGGGGAGCAAACAGGAUUAGAUACCCUGGUAGUCCACGCCGUAAACGAUGUCGAUUUGGAGGUUGUGCCCUUGAGGCGUGGCUUCCGGAGCUAACGCGUUAAAUCGACCGCCUGGGGAGUACGGCCGCAAGGUUAAAACUCAAAUGAAUUGACGGGGGCCCGCACAAGCGGUGGAGCAUGUGGUU